Rhincodon typus (whale shark) is the source of this 4959-nucleotide long non-coding RNA. RefSeq lists it as uncharacterized. NCBI's taxonomy places the organism in Eukaryota, Metazoa, Chordata, Chondrichthyes, Orectolobiformes, Rhincodontidae. The transcript has 2 exons. The record is from RefSeq and is a predicted model, not a curated record.
CUACUUUUCCAUUUUGACAGCUCAAAAACUGUUCUGUAGUCUCUGAAUUUGGAGACUUAACAAAUUAAAACCCUUUUGCUAUGGUAGAACUGUUCUCCUGAACUGAACUAAAACCACAGGCAACCCUUGGUCUGCUGUCUCUGUCAUACAUGUUCAACUUUAUAAACACUUUGUCAAUUAAUAUCACAGGUAUCCUGCUAGACACUGAAGUGAAAUCACAUGCUUUCUUGGAAAUUGUCUUUAGUUUACUGUUCCAAAUGAUUUUCUGACCUAUUUAAAAAGUCACCAGAACUGAAACCACAAAUCUAGUUCACCUCUACUUUAAAAUACAAGUUCCAAAUCAUCAUUAUAUAUUUUACAUAUGUAUACCUUUAUCUCUGUCAGCAAUGGGAUUUAUCUGAAUAAUGGGGAUAAAUUGACAGGUUACAGGAGUGGUAUGAAUGGUGCACGGAUCAUCACAUAAAAUCCAGGUGAGAAGGUCAGAUUGGAAGAAUAGAAAACAUCUCUCAGUUGUAUCACAAUCUGUGAGCCAUUUCUAAAAUGAACACUCCAAAAAAAAAAUGCUUUCAUGGGAUAUGAGUGUCACUGGCAGGGCCUACAUUUGUUGUUCUUCCCUAAUCACUUUUGAGCAGUUAAGAGCCAACCAUGUUGCCAUGGGUCUGGAGUCAUAUGCAGGCCAGACUGGUUAUGGAUGGCAGAUUUUCUUCCCUAAAUGACAUUAGUGAACCAGAAGAGAUUUUACAAUUGAUGAACAGUUGACAUGGUAAGCAUUACUGAGACUCGCUCCCUAUUCCAGAUUUUAAUUGAACUUUCAUUCCAUUGGCUGCCAUGGUGAAAUUUGAACCACUGUUCCAGAGCAUAAGUCUGGAUCAUUAAUCCAGUGUCAUUAUCAUUAUGCCAUUGCUAAAUGAAUAGUUUAUAGAAAUAUGGAAGUACCAUGCUUCUUGUACUGCAGGCCCUUAGGUUUGCUUAGCAUUUUCUAACAGUGUCUUUUUACAACUGAAUAAAAUUCAUGAGAAUCCAUUUACACUAACACAUUUCCUGUUGCAACUGUAUUUACAUAGCUUGUUUCCACACUUGUUCUUUAUGCAAAUAUGCUUUUGUUUAAUUUAUUUGCUUCUGGGUUUUCAGAUUGGUCUGUAGAGUAGGUAUUAAUGUUCGUUGCUUUUUGACAUCUUCUGAUUCCAUCUCUAACCCAGGUAACACUAUGCAUUUAAGCUUUAAAUGUUUCUGAUUGUUUCUUUUUAAAAAUGAGUAAAAUGUGAUAUUUGAGUACUCCAGAAUUGAAAAUGGAGGUUGAUUACAUAGCCUGGUAAAGUAAGCAACAAUCUACUUCUUACCCCAUUCUUUUUCUUUCUUUAACUUAGAUUUAAUUGCUUUCAUAAAAUAAAUGUAUUGUUUUUAACAGCUUAUUAGAUACUUUCUCUGACGAGUUUGGAAGAUUGGAUUUUCAACGCUCGCAGCAUGGUUCUGGUAUGAGCAAACGGUCCCAGGCAAAAAGAUUUGUGGCCGCUCUGAACAGGAUAGCAGAACAGACUUAUAAGACUGUCUUUGAAUUCCAUCAACUCAAGCAGUUAGCUAGAGAAAUACAGAUACAGGUGUCUGACUUUGAAGGAUUUAUCCAUUCUUUGAAUGACCAGGGAUACUUGUUAAAAAAGGGACCAAGACUUUAUCAGCUCCAGACUGUGUGAUUGCAGAUUGAUCACAAAAAUAUCUUCGUGGAAUUAUACUAACUCCCUUUAAAGGAGAACAAAAGCAAGGAGAACUGAAAUAACAUCCACCUUUGGUGAUAUGGUUAUUAUGUUAUAAAUGUUUCAAGGUUCAAAUUAGUAAAAUAGUGUGGAAUGGUUGAACCAUUUAAUAAUAACCUGUGAAGAGAAAGUAGUCUUAACUUUUCAGGUUCAGUGACCUUUCUGAUGUGAAGAAGUGUCACUAGAUUUGCAAUGUUAAUUCUGCCUUCUCUCCACAGAUGCAGAGGUUCUCCAGAAAUUUCUGUUUUUAUUUCAGAUUUCCAGUAUGCACAGUUAUUUGUUCAAUUUAAUUAAUAUCUGAGAUUUGAACAAAAUACUCAUCUGGCUUUAAAAAUGUGACUAGCCCAUUCUGGCAAGAUAGAUGCACACAUUUGUUUCAUUUCAUAUAGUUUAGAAAGUAUUGAUUGGAAUAGAUUUGUAUGUCCUCAUUACUUCCCCAAUUUCAAAGAUAAACGUUACUGUUGAACUCUAAAUUUGAGCUAGAGCAGGAUGUUGAUAAUUUGCUGUGUUACAGAAAGAUGGGCUUGUACCUACAGCCUGUGUAUUCCACAUAACUAGUUCUGGGGUUGGCUGUAGUUUUGAAGAAAGAAUGUAAAUUGGUUUGGAAACAUCAGAAGGAAGAAAGUUGCACUACAUUGUUCCUGUGGACUUUCCAUCUUGUUGGUGCAUUGCAUCCCACUUUGGAAAAAUGGAGAAUAGAAAGCUGACAGUUGAUGUCUGUUGAAAUUGUAUAGUGGGCUGGAUGGAGUUAAUUGGACCAGUGUGUUUAGGUGUAUGAUAAUUGCAAUUUUAAAAUUGUACAAUUCUGACUUUAUUUAAUACCUGCCACUAUAAAAUUCUUAACUUAAAUUCUAUGCUGAAAACUUCUUCUGUUAACUUGCGACUUUAUAGCUGCACCCUACCAGUGGUAGCAUUAUAGAAUCUCUACUGGUGGCAAUGUAAUUAUAAAUAUAAAUUUUACAUCAAUUUGCAUCACAAAGGCCAAACCUAAGAAUUUAUAAUGGAAGAAAGUUGAUUUAAGUCUGAGACGAACGAGUUUUAAUAAUCAUAGAAAUGAGUCACAAUAAAACCUGUUGGAGCUUUAUUAAUGUGUCUUUGUUGGGUAUUGAAAUUCAAAUAAUAUCUUGAGCUUGAGGGUGCUUAUUACCUUAACAGACUUUUAUCUGUGCUUGUCACAAAAUAUGAUGUGGAAGUAUUUGGUUUUUGUGGAUUCAAGGCAUUAGUCGGGAGAAGGGCCUGCUUAAAUCACCUCCACAAAUGUGUAGUGAGAAGUCAGAAUUUUUGAAGAAAGAAUCUUUUGAAUGUAAAAACAUUGCUGUUAAAUGAGUCUUUUUAUUUUUGUAGAUACUUAGACUAGUAAAUAAGUGUUUUCUCAAUUCUUUGUAGAAAUUUUACUUCAAAUGUUGGUGAAAAGUGUAACUUAUACCAAAAAUCUGUAAUUCUGUUGUGCAUAAAGUAUGGAAAAUGUCUGUUUAUGUAAUACAUUCUAUGUUGAAAAUUGUAAUGAAUAAGUUGUAUUGAAAUUAUAUUUUAAAGCAUUAACAGAAUAAAUGUGCAAUGUACAUAUUUUUAUGUUUGUGCUGAUACCUGUGUUAAGAAUUUUAUGCUUCAUUUUUAUUCUGUCAUGGUCUGUGCAUUUUGUUUUUAUUUGUUCCUGGAAUGUGUCAUUGGUUAUGCCAGCAUUUGUUGCCUAUCCAAAUUUGUCUAGAGAAUUAUAUAGAUGAUAUUGUCCAAAUUUUUAAUUGCAUUCAGAAGUGAAGGGACAUUGAAAAGUUUGGUACUCAAGUAGCCCUUCUUUACAUGUGAUCCAGAAUAACUGUGUAGCAUGUAGCUCAUUGGAGACACAUGAAAUAUUGGAAAAAGCACCAAUGUCGGGUCAAUACAUGCCAGUCAACCAUGAAAAGCAUCUUUUGAUGACCAAUAGACAUUUAAGUAUCAUUGUAAUGUAGGAAAUGUGGCAGCUAACUGAUAUAAACAAAAAUAUGAUGAUAACCAGAUUUUUUGUGAUUGUCAAUUAAGGGAUAAAUAUUGGCCAGGACAUCACGGAUUACUCCAUUGUUCUUCAAAGUAGUGGCAUGGGAUCUUUCAUAUCCACUGCGCAGGCAGUUGUGAUUUUAAUUCAAUGUCUCAUCAGAAAGAUGAUGCCUUCAGCAGUGCAGUGCCUCCUCAGUAAUGUAUACUGGAGUGUCAGCCUUGAUUUUGAUUUUGGUCCUGGGAUGGAACUUGAAUCCUGCACCUUCUGAUUCAAAAGUGCAAGUGCUACCAACUGAGCCAUAACUGACGUUCUGUUAAGUUUAAAUUUAUUCACAAAUUAAAUAACAAGUCAAAUGAGUGAAAUUUUGAAACAACAUAAACAUAAAAACAAAAUUAGUUUCCAUCUACAAGAGAUUUAAGUUAGCCACUUUUGGAUUGUUUCUUGGUAUUUGAUAAGUGACAAGAUGAAACAAUCAAGUCUGUAUUUUGAUCAAUCUUCCAAAUUAAACACUGUAAAUGGUACCAAUAUCAGUGCAUCCACAAAUCUUCUAGCAGAAUGAAAAUUGAGCAACUAAAGCUGUCAUCAUGUCACAACAGUUUCAGUUCUAUAAACUAACAAUUUUACAGGUACAUUUUGUGAGGAAAUAUCAGUGCCUGAAUACCCAUUCCUUCCUCAAUACAUUUGCAUUGUUAGUUUUGCAAAGAGACCACAUUUUAUUUAUUCAAUGCUGCCAGUUUUCAUGGUAACUUUUUCAUCCAUGCAAAUGCAGUCAGUAUAAUGUUUCCCAGUGAAUAUGUCAUUUCAGUGGUAACCAGUAAUUGACCAAGGCUCCUUUGAUAGCAAAUUCCAAACCUGCAACCUCUGUUGUCUAGGAGGACAGGGCAGAUGAACAAGAACAUCAUCUGCAAGUUCUCCUCGGAACCAUGUACCAUUCUGACUUGAAAGCAUACCAGUGAGUGUGUAAAAAUUAACAUUGAACAUUACUUAAAAUUUUACUACAGGAAUAGAACUUGACAACACAGGCUGAAACUAAUAAAGGUAACUUUAAGCAAUAAAUCCAGAAAACAACUGUAAAUCUUGGGUCAGGUACCUAUUGUCUCCCCACAGGUGCUGCCUGACUUUUGUGCUAGAUUUUAGACCAAUAUGGUUAUGGUUGUUUAAAGUCAGAACUCACCUGAUGAAGGAGCAGUGCUCUGAAAGCUUGUGAUUUUAAAUAAACCUGUUGGACUAUAA